This 12783-nucleotide long non-coding RNA is filed under the name Eutrema salsugineum. Its description in RNAcentral is "long non-coding RNA (ESAL_LNC000361)". Lineage: Eukaryota; Viridiplantae; Streptophyta; Magnoliopsida; Brassicales; Brassicaceae. The record is from RNAcentral.
UUUCCGUUUUCGAAUCUCCUUUUGCUUGUAAGCAAUUGGUUUUUUUCGAUUUCGGACUUUAUGCUUCUUCUACAAAUCUGGCCGCUUUCUUUUAAGAGGUGGUAAAGUGAUGGUGGUGAAAGCUCCUACUCCAACAUUUGGCAUCGUCCUCUCAUGGUUGGGAUGUUAAAUUUCCCUUGGUUACCUCAUGAAAAACCUUUUUCAAAAUGGAGGGUAAUAUAUAGUCAUGAGUCAAAGAUGAUCGAAGGUCUUUUUAAUGGAGGUGAGAAGAUUUUUGACCACCCAAGAUCUUUAUUGUAGAAGAAGCUCUAGCGGCGGUACACAAGCAUCAUCGUGAAGCCGGAAGCUGGAGGUUGAAGUGUCGUCGGCGGCGAGUUCCGGCGCACCAGAAACUGAAGCGGUGGUGCAUGACGAUAUGAUCUUCAUCUUGACACGUGUCACUGGUGUUUAUGGUUUUUACAUCUGUCUAUGUACAUGUCUAAAAUUAUCUUUGUAUUUGGGCCGAUAUAGGCCUUGUUUGUACCAACGCUUUACCCCUUUUGGAGUUUCGUUAUAAAACGAAUGACGAAAAAAAAAAAAAAAGUUUCACUCUCAUAUUACCACCAAUUAUUAUUCACUUUAUUUAAUUAAUUAGUAUUUCUUUUUGUCGUCAAACAAUAUACUUUAAAGUUUACAUUAUUAUAUUAGAGGCAUCAUACUUGUUAAACAGCAAAAUUUUUGAGGAGAAAACUGUCCAAGAAAUGUGAAUGAAGAGUAAUUUUAGAGUUUUGAUUAAUUUCCAAUGAAUUAAGAGACGAUCCUGUGUUUACUAUUUUUAAAAAAAUUACAAAAAAAACGAAAAAGAAAGAGAAAAGAAUUGUAAUUCAAAUUCGCAAAAACAAAAACGGAUCAAUGAUUACAUUUUUGGAUAUUUUUUAUAGUGUUUUAUUUUACAAAGAAAAUAAUUUUACCUUGUUUUUUUGUAUAUGUUUAUUACAUCCACAAUGUUUUACCUUGUUUUCCUGUAAUGUUUCUUGCUUCCACAAUGUUUUACAUGUUCUUUCGUAAUCUUGUUGAUUUAUUGAAUUGAAUAUUCCAGUUUUUUUUCUUUUUUUUUCUGUUUAAUCAAGGAUCAUAGCAAAUUAAAAAGGUUAUAGUUAGUCCUGUCUCUACUACCGAUCACAUUUGUGACCUUAUAAAUACUUCCUCAUUCAGAGCCAAAGAGGUUCCAUCUAAUCUAGUACACCAAAAGAUUUACCAACAGUGAAUAUAAACCAAAUGAAUUUUGUAAAGUUGGUAAUCGGUUCACAGCCCAUAACCGAUUAACAAGUCUCCCUUUUUCUUACUAUUGGUUUCUUUCAACAAUGACUAUCAAGAAUACUAGUUACUCAUAAAUUAUUCUAUAGGGGACGCUCUCAUUGCUUAUAAGUUAUAACAAGAUAAAUUCAUAUAACAGAAAUACAAAACAUAGAUCAUUAUUGCGUAAUUGUAUUGCAUUAUUUCGAGUGUAACAUACUAAUUUUUGUAUACAAAAUGAUAUUUAAAUCACACAUCACUUCAAGAGUUCUUGCUUCUUACUAGCUGCCUUAACUUCAAGAGUUCUUGCUUCUUACUAGUUGCCUUCACUUCAAGAGUUCUUACUACACCAUCUUCAACUAUACUAUAUGACCCGAGAGUCAGUAUUGAGAUGGUUUUUAUGAAAUCUAGCUCAGCAACAUCUGCGAAACACUGGCUCAGAUCAAAUGGUAACAUCCUCCCAAAAGGUAACCGGAAGCUCUGGUGAUACAGGCAUGGUCGCAACACACUGGAACUGUAACAAAAGAAGCAACAGUAAGUAUCCAAGAUUGCUAAAUUCACCAAGUGUUUUUUAUUUAUUUGUAAUGUUAGUUUACCUUGUGGUGCUUGUAUUUUUCUCUAACAGCUUGUAAAGAACCUCCUCUUCUGCUCAGAUACAAGUCAUGUAUGAUUCCAACACACUCUUGUAGAUCAGCUGCUUUGUACUUAGUGUAUUCUUCUAACAUCUGAUUCUGUUUACAUCAUAAAUGAUUAGUGUCUCAUUGAAGCAAGAGAAAUGAGGAUUCUGUAGACAGAAAAUGCUUACCCAAGGAUGUUGUUUUGGACGAAUGAUGAAUCGAGCUAGAAAGACAGCAGAAGCAGACAAUAUAGAUGGCACAAACUUCACAGCUUUGUAAUCUAAUAUACUCAAUUCUGAUAAAUAGAACGAGAGAGGCUCUAGCUGCAAGUGUGGCACCUGAAACAAAAGGGCAUCAAAAAGAGAAUAUUUAGCAAUUGACACUCUACAAGUUACAAAACAACAGAUUUUCAAAAUCUCUAUGUUUGAGCUUACAUUGAAAUCUUCUUGUGCAACUCUUGUGAAUCGUCUGCACAUUAAAAAGAACAAAAACACACACAAAAUGAGGACAAUGAACCAAUACACACCAAUAUAAGUAUUAUCACCAGAACACGAUCUAACCUUAUAAAACUAUUGAUUGUAGGCCUUCCCAAUUCAAACUGAAGGGCAAGAAGUAUAUCUGCUUCCAUCUUCACCACAUCUUGUUUCGUAAACGUAUUAUCAGUGAUGUAACAGAAAUCUUCCACUUUAGGAGGACUAAUCUCUUCAUACUUCCUACUCAUUUCAAAUAACCAAAACAAGGAAUAAUCCCAUAAGCUUCGGUCUAGCAAAAGAGAGAACAAUAACAACACUAGUAUGAUGAUCAAAAGAUGCUUACGAAGCAAUAAGCAUCGCAGAUACUCCCACGAGCUGAAGCCUCUGCUUGUUGACAGUCUUCAAGGACAAGAACCGAUCGAUGUAAGAGAUAGUGAGGUAGAGUGUCUCAGACACGAGUUUGUACUCUUCAGCAACUUCCACUAACCAAUCCACCAAAACACCUCUCAUGCUUGGUGUUACAUCUUUCUGAACCUUUUCGAUAUAAUCAGGUAAAGGUCUUUGCUUUGGCUUCACCUGGAAAUUUUUCACCAAAUCCAAAAAAGCAACAAUCUUUCAGCCUCACAUAACAAUCAAUCCUUAAAUUUUGUCCAAACCAUAUCAGAUUAUCAUAACCCACAAACCCAAAUCAUCCAAUUAUCAAUUCCCUAAAUUGGAAAUAUCUUAGAACUCUUUAUAGAUCAAACUCACUUAGAAUUGAAACUGAUCAAAGAUUUAAGUCCAAACACAGAAUAUAUACGAGAUUAUUCAGUAAAGUAGAGAUUUAUAAUUACCUCCAUUUCACGAAGAUACUCGUAGAUGUCGGUGACAUAAGGUCCACACAUCUUGGGAUCAUCAGAUCGAGAAUCGAUGUCAGAAUCUACGGCAGCUAAAGCCACCGGAGCUGACUUUCUCUGCUUCGCCGGAGCACCAAUACUCUUUCUGGGUUUCGGAAUCUCUCUUUUCCGAUUGAGAUUGGACAAGGCGGAGACGUUGGACACAUUCGGAAGCUCACCGAGAACCACUCUCUUCUUGCUGACCCUUUCUUCCUCCGUGGCCAUCGCUUUUCUUUUCGCCGCCGAUCUCGUGAUCCUCACGAAGAUCUCCUUCUCCGUCAUGGUUUAGGGAUUGAAGGGAUGACUUGAGAGAGGAAGAGUGAGAGAGAGAGAGAGAGAUCGAGAUUGAGAUUUGAUGGGAGGAAGAAGUGAGGGUGAGAGGGGGGAAGAAAAAGGGAGAGGAAAAGCGCCAUUUCUGAGGUUUUUUUGGAGUUGAAAUCCAGUUUCUGGCGCUCUCUGUGUGUGAUUUUGGGAAUUUGGGAGAUUUUGAGUUUUUUUUGUUGGAAUUUUGGAGGUACGAAAAUCUCCUGAAAUUUGUUUGGCGGGCUAAUUUUCAUGAGGUUUGUGUCCGAAUUUGUUUUGACCGGUAAGAUUUUCCGUGGUGGUUCGAUUGAAAACAUAUUUCACAUUUUAAAAUAAUUUCUCGUUUAUUUAUGGAUUUAAUUAUUUUAAAUUAAAAAGAUAAAAAAAAGUUCACGUUUAUAUUUUUCUACAAUAAAAAUAUCAAUUUUAAAAAAAAAUUAUUCAAACACUCUUGUCAAUUUUUUUUAAUUCAAAUAACUUUACUGAAUCAGUGAUACAAUUGUUUUGUUAAUCUCACCAUGGUUAACCCAAAGGCUAUAAAAAGUAUAUUUUUAUCUAUUAAAAUAUGUGAAGAGAGACAAGAUUAAUUUUUGUUUGUUGAAAUGUGAAUUUCCAUUUCAUUAAUCAAAAGAAAAAAAAUGUACAACUAAUUUAAAAUAGUUUUAUUCACAUCAAAAUUUUAAAAUAGUUUUUAUUCACAUCACAUUUUGAGUUUUUUUUGUUGGAGUCAAAUUAAAUUAGUUUUUAAAUGUACGAAAAAAAUGUGACGUUAAUUGGAUUUUUUUUUAUUCACGUCACAUUUUUUUGUCCCAAGAUCUCUUUUGUAGAAUUUUUAUAUACUAGGUGUUUAGUCCACGACUUGCGCGGGCCGAAAAAUUUCAUUAAAACCUAAAAUAAAAUUUUAUGUCAUAAAUAAAAAAUAAUUAGAUCAAGAAUUUGAUACAUACAAAAUUAAAAUAAAGCUAACCUAUGAAAGUAAUCAUUGUCUAACAUUAAAAACUUUAAAAUCAAUACUAAUAAGUGUAUGAAAUCAAUAAACACAAAUUAAAAUAAGAUUAAUAUAAAUUAUUCAUAUUUUUCUUUUUUUAUUUUUUAAUUUUUUUCUCUAUCAUUUUCUUCUUUCUUUCUUUUUUUCUUUUUUUUUUCUAUGUCUUUUUUUUUUACUUUUUAUUCUGCUGGUUUUUUUUUUCAUGUCUUCUUCUUCUCCACAUCUUUCCUUUUCCUCUCAUACAUCUUUAUUUCUNNNNNNNNNNNNNNNNNNNNNNNNNNNNNNNNNNNNNNNNNNNNNNNNNNNNNNNNNNNNNNNNNNNNNNNNNNNNNNNNNNNNNNNNNNNNNNNNNNNNUUUCUGUUGAUUUUUUUGUUUUAUUUAUCUGCCCCUUCUUCUUUGUUUUAUUUUAUUGUCUUUGUCUUCUCUAAAUUCUUAUUCUUCAACAUCUUCUACUAUUCUUCUUUUGGUUUUAUUAGCCGUUUUUAUCUUCUGCUUUUUACUUCUUCUUGAUCAUUUUUGUCCUAUCCAAACAUUUUUUCUUUCUAAUUUUUGUUUGUCUUUUUCGCAUCUUUACUUUCUUCUUUUUUAUUUUCUUUUUCAUCGUCGGAUUUUCAUCUUCUUAUACUUUAUUUUCUUCAUCUACCAUUUUUGUUCUUCUUUUUCUUUCAGUUUUCUUCUUCAACUUUGAGUUCUUCAUCUCCUUAUCAUUUUUCUUCUUCACUAUUUUGUGUUACCCAUCUUGAUCUUAUCGUUCAUGGUCUAGGACUUUUUGUUCAUUUGUUCCUCAUUUUUUUUACGUUUUCGUUAACUCUAUGUUCUUCUAUAUGUUUCAAUUUAUUUUUUUCUCUUCUUUUUCUACUUUGUUUUUCCCUUUUUUUCUUUCUCUGUUUUCUUUUUCGAAUUUUUCCUCUGCGUCCUGCUAGUGUAUUUGGCUUCUCUUACAUUAUUCCAAAAAUAAACAGAAUUCAGAAAGCCAUACUUAAAACAAAAAAAAAAAACAAAAGACUUAAAACCUGUUCAUUAGACAAUGAAAAUGUUUUAUGAUAUGUUGACAUGGUUUUAAUCACGUUAAGUACGGAAGAAUAACUGAAAACACAAAACAACAACAUAUAAUCGAGGAACACUACUACUGGUACUGAAAAACGGAAAAAACAAUAGAAAAAACGGAAAAAAGAUUUAUAAAAAAUAAAGAUGGUAACAAUACAUCGAAAAACCGACCAAUGUAGAAACCAAACCACAAUUGAGCUUAAGAUACAUUUAAAAAAGUAAUAUAUUUAUAUAUAGCUCUCAACUUAAGCUAAGAUUUCCCACAUCACAUGUAUAUUUUUUUCUAGAUAAUCUUGCUCAACAGAUAAUUCGAUUGAAAUUAUCUUAAUAUUAUCAAAAUAACUAAAAUUGGCAGCAAAAUUGUUAUACAAACUACGAAAAUAAAUAAAUUAGUUAAGGAUAUUCAAAAAAGAUUUUAUUAACGAAUAAAGGGGAAUUAAUUAUCAAGAUUGAAUGAGAGACCUUAUAGCGAAAAAUUUACUUCGCAUAUAUUAUAUAUGAUAUGAUUUUAAAUGUUUUUUUGAUUAAAUUCCAAUUUUUAAAUUUUUGUUAUUUUCUAUUUUAAAUAUUUUUUGAUUAAAUUUCGAUUUUUAAUAUUUUUUAUUAAAUUUAAAUGUUUGUUUAUUAAAUUUUGAUUUUUAACAAUUUUUUAUUAAUUUAUGAUUUUUAAUAUUUUAUUUAAUUUACGAUUUUUAAUAAUUUUUUAAUUAAUUUACGAUUUUUAAUAAUUUUUUAUUAAAUUUAAUUUUAAAAAAUAUAAGGAGGGGUAAAAGGUAAUUAACCACCCUAAAAAUGAAUGAAAGAGCUUUAGCUCAAAAUUUUAUAUUGCUUAUAAUAUAUAUGAUGUAAAUCAAUUAAUUCAAAAUAUAUCAGCGUAAGUUAAAUCUAAGUUAUAAAGUAUAAUGCAAUAUUAAUAUUAAAAAUAUUUAACGUAUUUGGGGUAUUUACACAUAACCAACCAAAGUACCAAACAAUGUCUUUGAGUUUAAAAGACUUAACGUCAUAAUUGAUCUUUUUCCUCUUAUCACCAACCAAACAAUUCUCUGGAAACAGAAAUCCCUAAAAUUCACUUCAAACAAAAAUGGCAGAAACCGCCGAAACAAUCAACACCACCGUCUCACCGCCGCCGGAAUCCGAGGGCUCCACCACCACAUUGCCUUCCGCGACGGCAGACCACACAUCUGAGGAAACCUCAAAAUCCGUAGAUCUGAAGAAAGAAGAACCCGUCGCUACAGAAACUAAAUCAUCAGGAGGAGGAGGAGGCUUCUCGCUUCGCAUUUGGCCGCCGACUCAGAAAACUCGCGACGCCGUCUUGAACCGCCUGAUCGAGACGUUAUCCACCGAAUCAAUCCUCUCCAAGAGAUACGGAACGCUCACCGCCGACGAGGCGUCCUCCGUCGCGAGAUCCAUCGAGGAGGAAGCAUACGGCGUCGCAUCGAACGCCGUGUCGAGCGACGACGAUGGGAUCAAGAUCCUUGAGGUUUACUCCAAGGAGAUUAGCAAGCGGAUGCUUGAUUCCGUGAAGGAUCGAUCUGCUGCGUCCAACGCCGGAAAUGUAACGGAUUCGACGGAGGAUGCGAAGACCGAGGUUUCGAAAGACGAUGAUGCUCCUGAAUCAGUGAAGAGUGAGGCUUAAAAAGAUUUGGUGUUGUUACUCUCUCUUCUUCGUUUUAUCCUCAUCUUCUAUUAAUCUACUACCUUUUAGGGUUUGCUUUUUUCGCUAGAUUCAUAUGUGAUUCUCAGAAAUUUAUGAUGAACGAGAUCUGUUUAUUGUAAUGACUUGUGUGGAUUUGGUAUUACCUAUUUGAAGAUGUUUCUUCUUCUUCUUCUUCCUAAUAUGAAUUGUCUUCGUUUCGUUUGGUUGCUUUGGGUUCUGUCUUAAUGAUACUUAACAAUAAUGCAAUUAGCGAUAAUCAUCUUUGCAGGUAAAUUCUUUUCCUUUUGUGUUAAUGUAUAUUCAAUACUGUCAAAUCGUUGGAAUUGUUUUGUUCGAUGCUUACUCAACCACAUCAUUUGCUCUGGCUGCAUUUGUGGAUAGUAUCAUUGGGGUUUAUGUCUUUGUGGCGAAUUGUUCUGCCUUCUCUUUUAUGUGUAUUGUUUGGAUUGUUUUGCUCGAUGCUUGCUCAUCCACAUCAUUUGCUUUGGCUGCAUUCGUUGUGUACUUGUGGUUAAUAUCAUUGGGUUAUGUAUUUGUGAACGUUGGAGAGAUGUAUUUAGUUUACUUUCUUGUUCAAUUUCUAUCAACACAUUUGCGUCUUUGCUUUGGCUUGUGAGUUAGUUGCAUGUAACAUUGUCUUUUACUUUUUAAAUACUGAAGUAGUAUUGUCUUUAAACAUUGCCUACAAGUUUCUAGUGGGUCUCAUUGUCUCUUCUCUCUCUGUUAUAUAUUCAUUUAUGUUAUAUUUAAAUAAUGGCUACUGUUAAACUAAGUUAUGAAAUGUGUAGAUAUUCUUAGCUCUUGUGUUGUUGUUGUACAUAGAAUUAGAGGAUUCUUUUUCUUGCUUCUUCUCUUUUUGCUUUGAGUGGUUUACGUUCAAUAUUGUAACAGUACCUUUUUUUGCUUCUAUUCUCUUUCGAAGCGUAGGUGAGUGUAUAUUGAUGAUCUCUGCAUUUGUUUAAUCUCACCAUUUCUUUCAACAAUUUCAGUCUGCAUUUGAUUCUAUCUCUCUCUAGUCUUCUCUGAUUAAGGUUGCAAAUUUCAGUUUUUCCCUUAUUCGAUAGAGUCUUCAAGAAUUUCUUCAUCAAAUCAAGAAUCUAUAUCUCUUGUGUUAAAUUUAAUAAAAUGGUAGUUGCUUGAUUGAUAAAGUUAUGAUGUUAUUGUUGUGAGUAGAGAUAUAAGAUAUUCAUAUUGGAUGGAUCAGAAUCAUAACUCAUUUCGCUCCUGUUAAAGACAGUCAUACAAGAUCCCUUUUAACUGACUGCAACAUAUCAAAUUAUAGAAUUUCUAACAGACCAAAACCUACCCUAUAUCUCAAAAGACCACCUAUACUUUAACUGAAGAUGGUGAAUUUACGCAGUUAAUAAACAAAAAACAAUUACAUUUCCAAUCUCAGCUUGACAUCUUUCAAAAAUGUUACUUUUCACACGAUUAGUCUGUCCAAAAUACAUAUUGUUAUUUCUUACUUGCAAAGUUUCUACUUGCAAAGUGACACAAUAUAUGAUAAGUGAAACCACUUAAUUAUACAUUCAUCUACUAAAAACGAACACAUAUAGAUUAAACAAAAACAACGAAACAAUAAAAGGAAAUACUAUAUCACAUAUCGCAUUCGCCUCUUGAAUAACCUCUCUGCUUCAGAGGUAGAGUUUGCAUUUACUCUUUCCUAAAUCUUGAAAAUCCUUUGUGCUUCGAAAGUAGAGUUUGCGUUUCCUGUUGGUUUCUUGCUAAGCCUCUCUGCUUCUUCUUUUUCAUUUACUCUAGCAGUCGCUGCAGCAAACCAUCCUCGUGGAUCCUUCUUUGCGUUAUCAGAAGCACAAGAAGUCGAACAAGAAGCAUCUCUUAGUUUUUGUUUAUCAAACCAUUCUCUGAACUCCUUUGCGCUAUCAGAUUCAGAGGUUGAAGCAUCUCUCACUUUUACGUCAUCAAACCAUCCUCGUGGAUCCUUCUUUGCGCUAUAAGAUACAGAAGUUGAAGAAGAAGCAUCUUUUACUUUUUGUUUAUCGAACCAUUCUCGAAACUCCUUCGUGCUAUCAGAUUCAGAAGUUGAAGCAUGUCUCACUUUUACUUCAUCAAACCAUUCUCGUGGAUCCUUCUUUGCGUUAUCAGAAGCAGAACAAGUCGAACGAGAAGCAUCUUUUACUUUCUGUUUCUCAAACCAUUCUCGAAACUCCUUUGCGCUAUCAGAUUCAGAAGUUGAAUAAGCAUCUCUCACUUUUAGGUCAUCAAACCAUCUUCGUGGAUCCUUUGCGCUUGAAUAAGAAGCAUGAUCUCUCGCCUUUUGUCCAUAUUCUUUCGAUUUCCUCGUUUGAUCAUACGCCAUUCUCUUAGAAUGAUCAGAUAACAGAAAAAAAGCAUCUGAAACCAGAACAAACGCGCCUUCCGCGCCAUGAAACUUGUUCUUGUCUGGAUGAAGCAAAAGAGCCAACUUCUUGUACUGUUUCUUCAAUUUUCUAUCGUCAGCUAAAGGAUCUACACCGAGGAUUCCAUACCAAUCGGCUCCGUUGCUCUGGUUUGAUGCAGAGAUAUAAACAUCUAUUAUCGUCAUAACUUGUUUCAGACCAUCGAGCGCUGGAUACAUAUCUUGAGCCUUGUUAACGAAUUUUUUCGCUCCAUUGUAAUCGUUCUUGGAGAGUUUCCUCUGUGCAAUAUCCAUUGCUCUUCGAGCUUCUUCCUUAUUACAUUCCAUUGUCGCUGAGAAAGUAAAGUUUUAUCUUGUCUUCAGAAAACAAUCGAGAACCAACAGAGAAGAAAUACGUUCAGAGAGGACAGAACCAAAACCCUAGAGAGUAGAGACGAAAACGAAAGAAGAGGGUCUAGGAGAAUAAUACGACUUGCAAAAAUCACUGUGUUAAAUAAGCGAUUUGCAGAUGCUGAUUUUCCUUUUUUACGAAAAAGGAAAUCGGGAGUCGAUAAAAGGAAAUUUAGGAAACCAAAUCCUUUUCACACGCAACUGUCCGAUAAAAGUUUGGUUUUAUCAAUUUCGGUUCGGGUUAGCCAGUUCAAUAUCGGUUCUGAAAUAAGAAAAAAAAAAACACACCUACUGAAAUAAAAAACAACCAUUAAAUAAAGCAACAUUCUAAAACAUUACACAAAGCCUCUUCUACCUCAGUUAUUCCAAGAGUUCGUUUAUCAGUUUGUUCUUUAGAGCCUCUUCUACCUCAGUUAGCGAUUCUUUUUUUCCUAGAAGAAACUCUAGUAACCUCUUGUUUGAUAACUUGUUCCUCAACUCCAUGUCUUUGGCCUUCAUUUCCAAUAUACCUCCUAUAUCCACAACCGGCUUCCCUUUCUCGUUACCAGCGGUUGGCUUCUUAGCCUUGGCUUUCGCAGCCUUGACACCGAUUGGACGUGCCUCCGGAACUUCCUCUUCAAGAUUGAUGGUCGAUGGCUCAUCCGAAGACUCACACGUCUUUCUCCUUUUAGCCUUGUCAAUAUCCUUUGUUAAAGACUCAGAGCACCAUUUCUGAUCAUGGCGUAGCUCGCGCCAUGCGUGAUCAAGCGUGAACUUGACACCAUGAUCGUUGAAGAAAAUAUCAUGUGCAGCCUUCAUUAUAUCAUUCUCGCUCUGUCCACUUCUUUGAUCCUUCAAUGCGGCUUCAUAACAGCCCACAAAUUUGCAGACCUGAUCGUUCAGCCUCCCCCAACGUUGCUUGCAAGUACUUUUUGGUUUAGAAUUUUCCCCAGUCAGUCCUAGAGUAUUAUUGAAAUACUCUUGUAUCCUAAACCAAAAAGCACCGGCUUUUUGCUCAUUACCCACCACGGGGUCUUUGCUGGUGUUCAACCACGCAGAGAUGAGCACCACGUCCUCCUUCGGUGUCCAAAGCCUCCUUCGGUGUCCACUUCGGUUUCCAUCUUCACCAGUUAAGUUUGGAUCAUCAGAACCCUGGCUACUAAACCGAGGGAUUUCUGAUGAUCCAAGGUCAAUUGUUUCAGGAAAAGUGUAAGAUUUGUCUUGUUGUGAGGUUAGGAGGUUUACAAAUGAAGUAGGUGAAUCCAUAUGGUUGGCUUCGGGUUUAGAGAAUUGAAAGAGGAAGAAAGUUUGGAGAAGUGCUUUCUGAAUCGAAUGAAUAAUAAGGUUUGGAGAAGUGGUUACUGAAUCGAAAGAGGAAGAAAGGAAAAAAAGUUUUGGAGAAUUGGUUAGUGAAUCGUUCUAAAGAGUAGUGUUGUUUUAAGAGUAAAAGACAUGUGUUUAGAGUGAUUUGUUUUUUCAGUAGCAAAGCUAACAAGUUUAUAGUUGGUUUAAGUUUGUUAUUCAAUAUUUUUAAAAGUUUUUAAAAGUUUUUAUGAGUUAAAGAAGUUAAAGCAAUCACCAUAACUAUUCACCAACAAAAUGUACUAUUGUGUUUACUCGUUAACUACUUUGCCAACUGUAUUACUUCAUAUUAAAAGCUGUCUAUAAGGGAUCACCAGACGUUUACCAACUAAAGUAAACCAACACUCAUCACUAAGCCAUUCACGCAGACUAGUAAAACAAUCUUAAAUCUAACUAUAGAAGAGGGCUGACCUUAUGAGGAGUUUGAUUGGUGACAGAGCUUUAAAACCUCCACCUUGUAUAACCAUCCAUAUCACGAAAGUUCCUCCAUUAAAUCAUGCAAAAAGAAAAAAAAAACAUAUAAGGUCCUCAUAGAAAAUCACCAAAAUAAGUAAACCAUUUCAGUCACACAUCACACCCUAACUCGAUCAUAAAAGCUCUUUAUCAGGCAUCACCAGACGUUUACCAACUAAAGUAAACCAGCAUUCAUCACUAAGCCAUUCACGCAGAGUUCUUAAAAGUAAAACUAACUAUAAGCUAACUAUAGAAGAUUUCAAUCACACAUCAAACCCUAACUCGAUCAUAAAUGAAGCAAUGAGUAGAAGAGAUGAGCAAACAAACGAGUACAUACUCCAUGAACAGAACAGACGAGUAGAAGAGAUGAGUAAACAAAACCAAUUAAACUAAAGAGAACAAUUAACAAUUCCCGAAAACAAAAAAUAUCCAAUCGAAAAAUAUCCAAACUAAAGAGAACAAUUAACAGAUGAAUGCUUCACCACAUAUGAAUCAAAAAAUGCUAAAGACAAUCAUAUUCAUACGACGAAUCAAAGCAGAGCCCCAAACUAAACUCAUUCAAAUUGAUUGUAUCUUUUUUAUACAUAAGACAAAUGAUAUACAAAACCCGGAUCGAAAUAUGCUACAGAAAUCGUAUAACAAUAACUCACACACACACUAAACUCAUUCAAUCAACCUACUUUGAUUCCUACCAAUUUUCCCCAAAUUUUCCCCAAAUUAGCAAACCCUAAUUUCAACCACGCAGACCCAAAUUCUAUAACAAAUAAAUAAAGCAGAGAGAUUACCUUCAAAGACGCGAAUCGAUAAACCGAAAUUGAUCUCGCCGGUGUCGAAAGCGCAGGUCUCGCCGAUUCUGGGUUGAAUAUGUGGAAAUCGCCGGUGGUGAAGAGAACACGAAGGAGAGAAAAUGAGAGAUGGUGGUCGAGAAUGAGAAAAUUGUUUCCCGACAAUUUUUUUACCCAGGCGAAUAAGAAUGUGACACCUGUCCAUGAACCUCUCAAAAA